CCCUGAUUUUAAAUACACCACCCAGAACUACCCAGACCAGAGUGAAAGUCUUGCCCCUCAUUGGUUCAGAGUUGCAAAGACGUUAAAAGAAUCAGGGACGUAGCUGUCCUUGAACGUUCAGGGGUCAAGGGUGGUUUGAACUAGCAACAGAGCUGUGGAGCGAAAGUCGAUAAACAACUUGUUUCCCAAGGCCUUUGUGUAGCCCGCCCUUCCUCUCCUCUGCUUUUCCUGCUGCGUCCCAAGGGACCUGCGCCCUGCGCAUCAGUUCUGCUGGAACAAGUUAUGGUAAGGGCAGCUUCGAAAGAAGAAAACAAUUCACAAGUGCCCUUGCCGGUCCCUCCAAUGCAAACAUUUUCCAAAGUAUUUUUUCCACAUUUUUGCAUCUCUUGUUUGAAUAAGUCCCCAUUUACUGCUGCUGGCUGAGCCAGAACAGUCUACACAUCCCAGGGGAGGGCCUGCCCCAAUAGAAAGAAUUCCAGACUAGCUGAAGAAAUAAGUAUUUGGUAAUGAGCGUGCAGAGGACACUGAGCCUGCCUUCCCAAGCUCCACCUUGGGCUUCCUGUGGCUGCUACUGCCAAGAAAACAGCUUCUUAUCCACUCUGGCAGUUAGGGGAAAUGUGACAGCCCUGGAUCUGGUGCCUGCGAAAGGUGUUUACUGGGUCCUGCUCCAGAUGGGAACAUUCAGGCUCAGUCCCCUCUUCUACAUUAAGUCUUCACUCAUCCUUUGACUACACUGCCUUUCUGGGGCCUUUGUCAUCUGGGGCUGCCUGGGGGAACUGAGCCUGCCUCAUCUCCAUGGCUAAUGAAGUGUCCCAAGGCACUGGUUGCCCCCCUCCAUCCCCCUCUAAGUCAUGCUUCUGUGGGAGGGGUCCCAACCAAUCUCCUGUCCUUACUUAAACUUCCUCCUUUCAGAGGAUGACAGAGGCACAUCUUUGGGCACCAGGGCCCCUCCCACAGAGAGGCUGAGUCCUGGCCCUGGGGGUCGAGAGUCUGGGGAGCAAGAGAGCCAGGAAAAAAACUUGCACCCCGGCUCACAGCCUGGCCAUCUUGCUCUGUCCUGCCUGUUAGCUUCAAGCAUAAUAGUCCUCAAGGAAACUGCCUGUGCUGAGAGGUCAGAGGCUAUGACUGGACAUACUGUGUAUUCCCCACCGCUGGAGAGACCACUGCUCACCUGUCUUUCACCUCUCCUUGGGGGUGAAUUGCAUUUUCCAAAGUUAGCAACAAACGGGAUCUCUAACCAACUGAACCUUUGAUCUUUGUACAGCCAGCUCUGACCAUCCUCCUGCAGAGAGGGAGGGGCUAUUUCCCCUUCUCCCAAAUCCAGGGAUGGUGCCACUUUGGGGUAAGUGAUGCUAUUUGACUUCUGAGGCCAAGUUACAAAUGACGAGACAAUUUCUGCCUGGCCCUCUUGGGACUCUCCACUUUGAAAAAAAAAUUUUUUAAUGUUUAUUUUUUGAGAGAGAGAGAGACAGCAUGAGUGGGGGAGGGACAGAGAGAGAAGGAGACAUAGAAUCCAAAGCAGGCUGCAAUCUCUGAGCUGUCAGCACAGAGCCCGAUGCAGGGCUCAAACUCACAAACCAUGAGAUCAUGACCUGAGCCGAAAUCGGAGGCUUAACCAACUGAACCACCCAGGUGCCCCUGGACUCUUUGCUUUGAAAUGCAACUACCAUGCUGUAGAGAGGCCAAACCUGCACAGAAGCCACAUGGAAGUUUCUCAAAGCAGUCCAAGCCAGCAUGUGAGGAGGCAACUCUUCAGGUGAGCAGCCCCAAGUCCAGGGAUCCCCUCAGGCUUGGAGUCCUCCCAGUGAGGUCCCAGAUGCUGUGAACAGAUUCUAGCUUUCCUUGAUGUUGUCUUUCCCAAAUUCUGAUGCUCAGAAACAUAAUAAAAUGAUCUAAGCUGCUAUGUUUGAGGUAACUCAUUAUCAGCAACAGUAACUGCAUCUUUUCUCUUACAGAAACAUCACACUUCCUGCCCCCUUGAAAUCACAUGUGGCCCUGUGACUUGCUGUGGGCAAUGCAAUUUGAGUGGAAAUGAUGUAUGACAGUGUUUUAUUGCUUGGCUCCAUUCUUUGCCUGUUCUUCUGGAAGACAUGGAGAUGUUGUCUCUGUGGGUCACAUUGGACAUACAGGCCAGUCACCCCUCUGCUCUCCUCCAGCCCUGGGCCUAGGAGCUGUCCUGCCCACACCUUCAUCUCAAGACCUUGAAUUUGCCCUUCUGUCUGCCUGGAAACUCUUCACCUGGAUAUCGAUGGGAAAACUGAGGCCCAGAGAUGUUAAAGAGCUUGCUGACAACUGUCAGAGCCUGGAACCAAGAAGCAGCCCAGCCCUAAAGGACAACCAGGCCCAGGAACUUCCCAGAACAGAUAAGCCUGUGGGAUGUGACAUGCUGGGGAGACCAGCGCCCCUCCCUGAGGGCCAGUCCCCGCAGGUUCAUAGGCAGCCCCUAGGCCUGUCAACUGACAGCCAGCACGGGGAGUCACUGGGAGGGAGGACGCCAGGCCCAGGCCCCAGCAUGUGAAUGCUGGGCUGCUGCGGAGGCUGGCAGGCAGGGCGGUGGCCAGCGGCUCCAAGUCAGGUAAUCACACUGAGCACCCUGCACACCCCUACCCCACCUGAUCGCACCAGCCCCCACCUCCCUCAACACCCUCUCUUGAAUUUGGCAAAUUCAAGCUGCUUGGGAAAUGAGCCCUGAGGCUGUCUCCUGUCAAAAGAAAAGUAAGGACAUAAAGAAGGAAGGUAUCCACUGGGACCAUGGGGCCCAGGAAGGGACACUGCCCCACCCUCUCCCCUAAGGCUUCCAUGACCCACCAAGAUUCUACAUCCAGUCACCUGGUCCCUUUCCCUUCCCAACAUACAAUGUCACACUCACAGGCCUGGCUGGAUCAGUACCUCCAGGGCCCAGCCUGUCCCUUGAUGCCUAUGCACUCCCCAUGGGCUUCAAAGCUUUGAGGACAGAGAUGACCAGGUCUCAUCCACACCCACGGUAGGACCCAGUCAGGGUGAGACAGGACCAAACACAAAAGGCCAAGGGCCCCUCCCUUGGGGGCCAUCAGAAGUCACUCAGAAACCCCAAGUCCUUUCCCAAGGUCCCUUCAUCCACAGGGCCUGGGGUCUUUUAAGAAAAGGAGGGUGGGUGUCUGGGUGGCUCAGUUGGUUAAGCGUGGACUUCGGCUCAGGUCAUGAUCUUGAGCUUCCUGAGUUUGAGCCUCACAUUGGGCUCUGUGCUGAUAGCUGGGACCCUGGAGCCUGCUUCAGACUGUGUCUCCCUCUCUCUCUGCCCCUCCCCCACUCAUGUGCUCUUGCUGUCUCAAAAAUAAAUAAACAUUAAAAGAAAAGAAAGAAGGAAGGAAGGAAGGAAGGAAGAAAAGAAAGAAGGAAAGAAAAGAAGGGAGCACAUCAAGUUCUAAAUUGGACCUAAGGGGCUUACCUGGCUUUACCCAUCUCUUUUCACUCUUCUUUUCAUUCAGUGAAAAGAACAAAGGGGCACAGCCUUGUUUUAGUGACCAUCCUCAGAGUAUAUUCAGGACCCACAGCCACAGCAGGCUUGGGAAAUAACUAGGCUCUCCCCAGACUUCCUGGGUCAGAAACUCUGGGAGUGGGGCCAGCACUAGGUUUUUAACAAGCCCUCCAAGGGGGUCUGGGGCAGGUACAGUGUGAGAGCUCCUGGCUAACAGCUUCCCUCUUCCACCCUCAGACACCCCCCCCCCACUCAGACC
This is a long non-coding RNA of Neofelis nebulosa (Clouded leopard), 3716 nucleotides long. RefSeq lists it as uncharacterized. Lineage: Eukaryota; Metazoa; Chordata; Mammalia; Carnivora; Felidae. The transcript is spliced from 3 exons. The record is from RefSeq and is a predicted model, not a curated record.